CUUACGGGCGGCAGCAGUGAGGAAUAUUGGUCAAUGGCCGGAAGGCUGAACCAGCCAUGCCGCGUGAAGGUCAGUGCCCUAUGGGUUGUAAACUUCUUUUAUAAAGGAAUAAAACGAGGCACGUGUGCCUUUUUGCAUGUACUUUAUGAAUAAGGAUCGGCUAACUCCGUGCAAGCAGCCGCGGUAAUACGGAGGAUCCGAGCGUUAUCCGGAUUUAUUGGGUUUAAAGGGAGCGUAGAUGGGUUGUUAAGUCAGUUGUGAAAGUUUGCGGCUCAACCGUAAAAUUGCAAUUGAUACUGGCAGUCUUGAGUACAGUUGAGGUAGGCGGAAUUCGUGGUGUAGCGGUGAAAUGCUUAGAUAUCACGAAGAACCCCGAUUGCGAAGGCAGCUUACUAAACUGUGACUGACAUUGAUGCUCGAAAGUGUGGGUAUCAAACAGGAUUAGAUACCCCUGUAGUC
Molecule: ribosomal RNA, 459 nt
Filed under: uncultured bacterium
Lineage: Bacteria
Description: partial 16S ribosomal RNA
Rfam family: Bacterial small subunit ribosomal RNA
Source: RNAcentral